This 993-nucleotide long non-coding RNA is filed under the name Anser brachyrhynchus (Pink-footed goose). RNAcentral describes it as "lncRNA (ENSABRG00000013944.1)". Lineage: Eukaryota; Metazoa; Chordata; Aves; Anseriformes; Anatidae. The record is from RNAcentral.
AAUUCAGCUGAAUGAGAUUAAACACCUCCCAGGAUUGCUCUUGGCUUCUUUGUGGUGGUUGUCACCUUUUACCCAUCUGAGCUGCAGGACUACAAAAUCAUUAUCCCUUCGAUUCUGCUGUUCUGCAUGCCAGCAUUUUGCUUUUUCCUUGUUCCUCUGCACCAAUCAGCCAGGAUCACCUGGAACUUAUUCCCUUGCUCCCAGUUGUACCUCUACAUGCCACCAUGCUGUUAGCGUGUUUGCAUUGGUACAGCACCCGGAUUCUUACUGGAGGGAAUAUUUGAACAAUUACGGGUCUGUUCACAGCCCCGUUCUGGCCUGGGGCUAAGCCAGGGGGUUGUUUGAGGACGGUGGUGUUUGGAGCCUGCCAGCUGACUGGUACCAGUGGGAUCAUACUGGAACAGACGGAAAGACCAGCAAGCCUAGAGGACAACGUAACAGCUGAGAAGCUCCCCCUGCACCCAGAGUAAAAACUGAGGAGUUUUUAGUGUUUUGAUACACCUUACACACCAGACGGCACAAGUCCAAGCUCCACCAGGAGAUCUCCCUCUCCUCAGCUGUCCCACUUCUAGGGACAUUCAUGGGGACCAAAGAGCUGGCAGUGCCUGAGCACUGGUUGGGAAAGGGGACUGUGUGUGCCUGAGUGGCCUGGAAAGUUGGACAUGGGUCCAGAUGUCACAGCAAAUAGGUUUGGAGCCUCUUGCAUGAGGGUGGGUUGUCACAGCUUCCCAACUCCAGGAGAGCAAUGAUCCCAGCUCUUGUGGCCGGCACAUCUUCAGAACACAUUUGAUGACAUUUUUGUCAGUUUUUAAGCAACGUGGACUACUUUAAAUGGGGAAAACAAACAAACAAACAAAAAAGAGUUUUUUGGGAAACGAACAAACAAAGAGUUUUUUGGGUACCAUUGGGGUCACUCUCUUCUUCUCCCCCAACACCCACUUUUCCUUCUUCAAUUAAAAUAAAGGAAAAAACAUACCAUUUAAACUUUGCCUA